UCUACAAUCUCCACUGAGAAGCUGGCGCGCGUCGCCGUGCGCCACGACCUCUACCCGCUGCUCCGACGCAACUGCCCUCGCCUCGAUCUCUUGGUAGGACAGUUUAUCCAGUCAGUGAAACAAGAGUUAGAGGAUGACCUUGGCACUACGCCCUAUGGUGGCACUGUAUUUAAGGCUCCCAAGGUGCUUGCUGAUAUAGUUGAGGCCAUUGCCGCUGCUGUCUAUGUGGAUUGCAACUUUAAUCUUGAAAAGAUCUGGAAGGUAACAAGGUUCCUCUUUGAGCCCAUUGUCACGACAGAAACAAUAGAUGAGCAACCUGUGUCUACGUUGCAUGAACUGUGCCAGAAACAUGGGAAAGAUGUAAAAUUCAAGACUUGGCAGAAGGGUGGAACAGUGGUUGUAAAUGUAUUUGUUGGUGGGGCACUUGUUGGGAUGGGCUCCUCAGAGCAGAUGGUAAUCGCUAAGCUCAAUGCCACCCGGGAUGCACUAAGCAAGCUUCUUGGUGGAGGCAAUCAGCAAGUGUCGACAACUGGAGUUAGCCAUGGAUUGGGGGUUGAGGUUGGAGAGCUUAGGGAAUGCAAGCAGAAGCUUAUUGAGCAGUGCAGCAGGAAGCAUUGGCCAAAACCCAUCUUUAAGUAA
Molecule: ribosomal RNA, 639 nt
Filed under: Triticum aestivum (bread wheat)
Lineage: Eukaryota; Viridiplantae; Streptophyta; Magnoliopsida; Poales; Poaceae
Description: partial small subunit ribosomal RNA
Source: RNAcentral